AGCGAACGCUGGCGGCAGGCCUAACACAUGCAAGUCGAACGAACCUUUCGGGGUUAGUGGCGGACGGGUGAGUAACACGUGGGAACGUGCCUUUAGGUUCGGAAUAACUCAGGGAAACUUGUGCUAAUACCGAAUGUGCCCUUCGGGGGAAAGAUUCAUCGCCUUUAGAGCGGCCCGCGUCUGAUUAGCUAGUUGGUUGAGGUAAUGGCUCACCAAGGCGACGAUCAGUAGCUGGUCUGAGAGGAUGAUCAGCCACAUUGGGACUGAGACACGGCCCAAACUCCUACGGGAGGCAGCAGUGGGGAAUCUUGCGCAAUGGGCGAAAGCCUGACGCAGCCAUGCCGCGUGAAUGAUGAAGGUCUUAGGAUUGUAAAAUUCUUUCACCGGGGACGAUAAUGACGGUACCCGGAGAAGAAGCCCCGGCCAACUUCGUG
RNAcentral lists this ribosomal RNA (434 nucleotides) under uncultured bacterium. RNAcentral's name for it is "partial 16S ribosomal RNA". It matches the Rfam family "Bacterial small subunit ribosomal RNA", at positions 29 to 507 of the family's 1533-position model. The record is from RNAcentral.